CGGUAGCUAAUACCGGAUAAUUCCUUCACCCUCAUGGGCGAGGGAUGAAAGGCGGAGCAAUCUGCUACUAGAGGAUGGGCCUGCGGCGCAUUAGCUAGUUGGUGGGGUAACGGCCUACCAAGGCGACGAUGCGUAGCCGACCUGAGAGGGUGAACGGCCACACUGGGACUGAGACACGGCCCAGACUCCUACGGGAGGCAGCAGUAGGGAAUCUUCCGCAAUGGGCGAAAGCCUGACGGAGCAACGCCGCGUGAGUGAUGAAGGUUUUCGGAUCGUAAAGCUCUGUUGCCAGGGAAGAACGUCCGGUAGAGUAACUGCUGCCGGAGUGACGGUACCUGAGAAGAAAGCCCCGGCUAACUACGUGCCAGCAGCCGCGGUAAUACGUAGGGGGCAAGCGUUGUCCGGAAUUAUUGGGCGUAAAGCGCGCGCAGGCGGCUAUUUAAGUCUGGUGUUUAAACCUUGGGCUCAACCUGAGGUCGCACUGGAAACUGGGUGGCUUGAGUACAGAAGAGGAAAGUGGAAUUCCACGUGUAGCGGUGAAAUGCGUAGAUAUGUGGAGGAACACCAGUGGCGAAGGCGACUUUCUGGGCUGUAACUGACGCUGAGGCGCGAAAGCGUG
RNAcentral lists this ribosomal RNA (619 nucleotides) under Paenibacillus helianthi. RNAcentral describes it as "bacterial SSU rRNA". It matches the Rfam family "Bacterial small subunit ribosomal RNA", at positions 157 to 763 of the family's 1533-position model. Lineage: Bacteria; Bacillati; Bacillota; Bacilli; Caryophanales; Paenibacillaceae. The record is from RNAcentral.